Molecule: non-coding RNA, 96 nt
Organism: Aspergillus fumigatus Af293
Lineage: Eukaryota; Fungi; Ascomycota; Eurotiomycetes; Eurotiales; Aspergillaceae
Source: the annotation of a RefSeq genome assembly
UGGCACUCCUGAAUCACAUCUCCUUCUCCUAGAGUUCUUGGCGUCAUCUGAUUCAGGGGAAUGUAGAAUGAACGGACUAUCAGGCCGAUGAUGUGU